AAAGGGAGACCUAAUUCGGGUAUAAGACGAAAAAAUAGUAGUCGAAACCAAGAAUCAAUCCCAAAAGGUCGGAACGAGGUAUGUGGCUUUCAAACUAGGUUCUGGGUUCAUAAAAGACCUGAAUCAGGAACAAGGGCUAUUAGCUCAGGUGGUUAGAGCGCACCCCUGAUAAGGGUGAGGUCCCUGGUUCGAGUCCAGGAUGGCCCACCUGCACAGGUGGCAAAAACAAGAGAAGCGAGGAAUCAGCACCUUAUCCUAAUUUAUAUAUAGGAGAGAAUGCUGGCUCUGAGUAAAGAGUCCAGAGGAACCUUGAAAACUGCAUAGAGCUAGGUGAAAAAGCCAAAAAAGAAGACCGCAAG
This 359-nucleotide transfer RNA is filed under the name uncultured Microcystis sp. Its description in RNAcentral is "partial 16S-23S ribosomal RNA intergenic spacer". The stretch from base 134 to 207 matches the Rfam family "tRNA". Lineage: Bacteria; Bacillati; Cyanobacteriota; Cyanophyceae; Chroococcales; Microcystaceae. The record is from RNAcentral.